AAGAUCCUAGCUUAAAGGUUAAAGCAUACCGCUCAUAAUGGUUGAAUAAUGGUUCGAUUCCAUUGGGUCUUA
RNAcentral lists this transfer RNA (72 nucleotides) under Pneumocystis oryctolagi. RNAcentral describes it as "tRNA-Met". It matches the Rfam family "tRNA". Rfam says of the family: Transfer RNA (tRNA) molecules are approximately 80 nucleotides in length. Their secondary structure includes four short double-helical elements and three loops (D, anti-codon, and T loops). Further hydrogen bonds mediate the characteristic L-shaped molecular structure. tRNAs have two regions of fundamental functional importance: the anti-codon, which is responsible for specific mRNA codon recognition, and the 3' end, to which the tRNAs corresponding amino acid is attached (by aminoacyl-tRNA synthetases). tRNAs cope with the degeneracy of the genetic code in two manners: having more than one tRNA (with a specific anti-codon) for a particular amino acid; and 'wobble' base-pairing, i.e. permitting non-standard base-pairing at the 3rd anti-codon position. The record is from RNAcentral. Lineage: Eukaryota; Fungi; Ascomycota; Pneumocystomycetes; Pneumocystales; Pneumocystaceae.